This 919-nucleotide ribosomal RNA is filed under the name uncultured bacterium. Its description in RNAcentral is "bacterial SSU rRNA". It matches the Rfam family "Bacterial small subunit ribosomal RNA", at positions 591 to 1504 of the family's 1533-position model. The record is from RNAcentral.
GCCGUGAAAGUCCGGGCUCAAACUCCGGAUCUGCGGUGGGUACGGGCAGACUAGAGUGAUGUAGGGGAGACUGGAUUCCCUGGUGUAGCGGUGAAAUGCGCAGAUAUCAGGAGGAACACCGAUGGCGAAGGCAGGUCUCUGGGCAUUAACUGACGCUGAGGAGCGAAAGCAUGGGGAGCGAACAGGAUUAGAUACCCUGGUAGUCCAUGCCGUAAACGUUGGGCACUAGGUGUGGGGGACAUUCCACGUUUUCCGCGCCGUAGCUAACGCAUUAAGUGCCCCGCCUGGGGAGUACGGCCGCAAGGCUAAAACUCAAAGGAAUUGACGGGGGCCCGCACAAGCGGCGGAGCAUGCGGAUUAAUUCGAUGCAACGCGAAGAACCUUACCAAGGCUUGACAUGGACUGGAAAUACCUGGAAACAGGUGCCCCGCUUGCGGCCGGUUCACAGGUGGUGCAUGGUUGUCGUCAGCUCGUGUCGUGAGAUGUUGGGUUAAGUCCCGCAACGAGCGCAACCCUCGUUCUAUGUUGCCAGCACGUGAUGGUGGGGACUCAUAGGAGACUGCCGGGGUCAACUCGGAGGAAGGUGGGGACGACGUCAAAUCAUCAUGCCCCUUAUGUCUUGGGCUUCACGCAUGCUACAAUGGCCGGUACAAAGGGUUGCGAUACUGUGAGGUGGAGCUAAUCCCAAAAAGCCGGUCACAGUUCGGAUUGGGGUCUGCAACUCGACCCCAUGAAGUCGGAGUCGCUAGUAAUCGCAGAUCAGCAACGCUGCGGUGAAUACGUUCCCGGGCCUUGUACACACCGCCCGUCAAGUCACGAAAGUUGGUAACACCCGAAGCCGGUGGCCUAACCCCUUGUGGGAGGGAGCUGUCGAAGGUGGGACUGGCGAUUGGGACUAAGUCGUAACAAGGUAGCCGUA